UGUCGGUCAGCUCGUGUCGUGAGAUGUUGGGUUAAGUCCCGCAACGAGCGCAACCCUUGUCUUUAAUUGCCAUCAUUCAGUUGGGCACUUUAAAGAGACUGCCGGUGUUAAGCCGGAGGAAGGUGGGGAUGACGUCAAGUCCUCAUGGCCUUUAUGUCCAGGGCUACACACGUGCUACAAUGGCGCAUACAGAGGGCAGCGAAGCCGUGAGGUGGAGCGAAUCUUGUCAAAGUGCGCCUCAAUUCGGAUUGCAGUCUGCAACUCGACUGCAUGAAGUUGGAAUCGCUAGUAAUCGCGGAUCAGCAAAGCCGCGGUGAAUACGUUCCCGGGCCUU
RNAcentral lists this ribosomal RNA (334 nucleotides) under uncultured Desulfocapsa sp. Its description in RNAcentral is "bacterial SSU rRNA". It matches the Rfam family "Bacterial small subunit ribosomal RNA", at positions 1050 to 1382 of the family's 1533-position model. Lineage: Bacteria; Pseudomonadati; Thermodesulfobacteriota; Desulfobulbia; Desulfobulbales; Desulfocapsaceae. The record is from RNAcentral.